CCUGGCCCAUUUCAUUCCUCUAACAAUGUGUAUCUGCUAAGUAUUCUUUAGAGGAGCGAAAGAGUGAUAUCUUUCCAGGCAACAGGUUGAGGCAGUGGAUUCAGUAAAGCAGUAAAGGCAUUUAUGUAAGUGCGCCUACAAUGGAAAGUGAAUGCAAGGCCUUUAUGUAGGUGCGUCAUGGGGCCAGUGAAUGUGUGUGCGUGAAUGUAGACUUGUAAAUUUAUGUAUUUAAGUUAAGCUAUUUUCAUAUGUAUAUGGAGCCAACUUAAUUUCCUAUGAUUCACUUUAAUAGAAUAUUGCAUUGUAUUAAUAAAGUAUUGAUG
Molecule: long non-coding RNA, 323 nt
Filed under: Solanum tuberosum (potato)
Lineage: Eukaryota; Viridiplantae; Streptophyta; Magnoliopsida; Solanales; Solanaceae
Description: long non-coding RNA (STUB_LNC010957)
Source: RNAcentral